RNAcentral lists this ribosomal RNA (149 nucleotides) under Desarmillaria ectypa. RNAcentral's name for it is "Armillaria ectypa partial large subunit ribosomal RNA". It matches the Rfam family "Eukaryotic large subunit ribosomal RNA", at positions 1 to 148 of the family's 3401-position model. Lineage: Eukaryota; Fungi; Basidiomycota; Agaricomycetes; Agaricales; Physalacriaceae. The record is from RNAcentral.
UUGACCUCAAAUCAGGUAGGGCUACCCGCUGAACUUAAGCAUAUCAAUAAGCGGAGGAAAAGAAACUAACAAGGAUUCCCCUAGUAACUGCGAGUGAAGAGGGAAAAGCUCAAAUUUAAAAUCUGGCAGUCUUACUGUCCGAGUGUAAU